UCAGACGAUGCGUCAUGCAUAUCAAUAAGCGGAGGAAAAGAAACUAACAAGGAUUCCCCUUAGUAACGGCGAGUGAAGCGGGAAGAGCUCAAAUUUGAAAUCUUCAAGGUUUUACCUUGACGAAUUGUAGUUUAAAGAAGUGUUUUCUGCUGAAGUUUUGGUAAAAGUUCUUUGGAAUAGGACAUCAUAGAGGGUGAGAAUCCCGUAUGAUUGACCGAUUAUUGUCAGCUUUGUGAUACACUUUCAAAGAGUCGGAUUGUUUGGGAAUGCAGUCCAAAAUGGGUGGUAAAUUUCAUCUAAAGCUAAAUAUUGGCGAGAGACCGAUAGCGAACGAGUACCGUGAGGGAAAGAUGAAAAGAACUUUGAAAAGAGAGUUAAACAGUACGUGAAAUUGUCAAAAGGGAAGCGUUUGACACCAGUGUUGUUUUCUCGAAAAUCAAUUAAAAAUGGCUCGAUUUUGUAUUGCUUGAGACCUUAAAAGCUCACUGUACAUUUUUCGUGUUUUUUUUAAUGCACUUUUCGUUUAACAAGUCAACAUCAGUUUCUUUUGUUGUAAAAGGGUCAUUGGAAGGUGGCUUUCUUUUCGGAGAAAGUGUUUAUAGCCUUUGGCCUCUGCAAUCGGAGAGACUGAGGUCUGCAGCGUAGACUCUUCGGGGUUAGAUACAUUUGUGCUAAGUUAUAGCUUUUUAUAGACAACUUGUUGACUAUAAUUAGUCUUGUAGCUUACUCGCUUAUGCUAUUUUACCUACGCUUAGGAUGUUGACUGAUAUGUAGUCGUA
Molecule: ribosomal RNA, 779 nt
Filed under: uncultured Neocallimastigales
Lineage: Eukaryota; Fungi; Neocallimastigomycota; Neocallimastigomycetes; Neocallimastigales
Description: partial large subunit ribosomal RNA
Rfam family: Eukaryotic large subunit ribosomal RNA
Source: RNAcentral